AAGAAUAGCAUCCCCUAACCUUAGGGUUUUUGUUUUGAUUUUCUGCAGUUGCCACACAAGAGCUUUUACUCUACAAAACUCGUGAGGGGUGUUGAGGUAACCCACUCUGCACACCAUGUAUCCCCCUCCACGCAGCAGAAUAUAAGAUAUAAAACACAUUGUAAGGUUCUGCCCCAAAAACAGCCUUAAUUCCCCUAUCUGUGCUUUCAGAGACCACAUACAUAAAGCAGGCCAACUUUGAGAGCCAUGCUGUAAAUUACCGUGUUUAACUCACAGAGGAGAUCUUCUCAUUGGGUCUGAGAUUCAUGUAGUCCAUUUGUAUUUCUGCAGCCCUUGGCCAACACAGGUUUUGAAGGUUCUACUCCACAGUGUUGCCAUCCUCCAUAGCAGUCAAGAGAGAGAAAGUAGGGGAGUCAUGGAACUGAUAAAAGCCACAGAUGUUUGCAAGGUUUCAGAGUAGCCCCCGUGUUAGUCUGUAUCCACAAAAAGAAAAGGACGACGUGCGGCACCUUAGAGACUAACAAAUUUAUUUGAGCAUAAGCUUUCGUGAGCUACAGCUCACUUCAACGGAUGUAAGUAAGUUUUCCGCUCCUGCUAGGUUAUCAUGGGAGAGGAAGAUAGAGGCUUUUAUGGUGCUCCUCUAGGCCUUCAGAUACUUUUGUUUCUGAACAGAUUGAAUUUCAAGUAUUAGAUGAUAUUUGUACCAGAUCAGCCAUGACAUCUCAAAGAACUGCAGUUACUAUAAGGAGUGUGAAGACUGGCUUCUUCUCUUGAAGUAUGAGAUUUGGGGUAGAAGACUGGCAACUGAAUAUCCUGGUUGAUGUGGAAGUCCAAUAAAAUCUUGUUUGUUUAGGACCUUGAGGAGCAAUGGUGUUGGGGGAGAAGCAUAUGGCAGAGUUCAAGGCCAACUGGUAAGGAAGGUGUCCCCUAAUGAUUUGUGGUUGUGUCCUCCCAUCAAGCAAAAUCACUGGUAUUUCAUGUUGGAUGCUGUCGCAAAUAAAUCUAUCUUUGGGAUGUCCCAGGUGAGAAUCUUCUGUAGGAUAAGAUCACUCAACUCCCAUUCGAGGUGCUGGAGAAAUGUUUGCUAUGGUGUUUUGCAGACCAGGUAGAUAUGCCACUGAGAUGUUAAUUUGGUGCAUUAUGCAUCAGUUCCAAAGUUUUAUUGCCUCUGUGCACAAGGACAUUACACCUCUUGGUGGUUUAUUUAGUACAUGGUUUCUCUGUUUAUCUCUUGACUCUGACUAAGUGACCCUGAAUCUUGGGUAGAAAGUGGUCGCAUACGUACUGAAUUGCUCUGAGCUCAAGUAGACUGAUAUGAGGAGCAGACACCUCAGGGGUCCAUCUGCCUUGUGCUAGGAGGUCCUGGAGGUGAGCUCUCCAGUCUAGUCGGGAGACAUCUGUGGUGCUUAUCUUUGUGGGUGGUAUGAGAGAAUGGAACUCCCAUGCAAACCUUGUGGGGAUCCCUCUGUGAUAGGGCAUCCACCCCACACUGGCAGAGAAGGGACUAACAGAGCUGUGGGAAGGCUGCCUGGGAAGCAGCCAGACUGCGAAGAACAGCCAGUUAGGGCCCAGCAGGUCCAUAUAAAAAGGGAGCUGCAGGGAAGAAUAGUUCAGUUGCUGCUGGGAACCCAGGGAGUAAGGAUUGCAUCCCUGGAGGGCUGAGAGAACUGUAAGCACCUUGGACAGAGCAGUGGUUGGUUCUUGGGACUGAGCAGCUGAGUGCCCUGAGCUGAGGAUAAAGAAGGUUCUGGAGCUGUGGGGAAGUGGCCGAGGGAAGUAGAGCAGUAUUGCCAGAGUUACAGAGGAGCAAUAGGAGGCUGCUAUUUACAGGGUCCUUGGGUUGGGACACAGAGUAGCGGUUGGGCCUGGGACCCCCUCACUUGCCACUAGGGAAGUGGCUGGACUGUUGGACAGAGAUACUUUCCCCAGGAAGUGGGGAACCACAGAGUGUGACAUGGCCGGAUGGCUCAGUCAAGACGAGGACCCUGCAGUUCUGGUGAGAGAGGAGCUGUAGGCAGGAAAAGAGACAGAGUGCCAGUGUGCAGACCACAGAUGGGGAUUAGCUCAAGGCCAAUGCCCACAUCAUGACAAGGAGGAGGUGCCGUCUGGCGAUGAGGGCUAUACCCUGUAACACCCUCCACCAACUGAGAGAGUUGAGAACUCUGAGCAUUGGGCACAAGGAGUGCAGACUGCCAUAAGAUGUUACAAGAGUACAGGCUGCCACAUGGCUCAAAAUCUGAAGUCAGGUCCUCCUAAUGGUUUGAGGAUUCUGCUGUAGUGUGGAGAGGAGGUUCGACAUGAUGACAAACCUGUCCCUGGAGAAGCAUGCCCUGGCAGUUGUGGAGUCCAAGGUGACCCCAUGAAGCUGAUGUGUUGGACUGGUGUCAAAGAUUGCAUUGAACCAGAGUCCCACAGAGUGGAAAUGUGCUAGGGCCUUGUUGCUGCUGACUGUACCUCAUGGAGGGAACAACCCUUGAGGAGCCAGUCAUCGAGAUAGAGGAAGAUGACUUUUCCCAUUUGCCACAGAUGGGCCAUGACAACUGAGAUGACCUUUGUGAAGACUCUCACGUCAGUUGAGAGGUCAAAGGGAAGCACUUAGUACUGACGGCGGUCAUUGCUGAUGAUGAACUGGAGGCGGUGUCUGUGAGCUGGAUGUAUUGCUACCUGAAAUUAUGCAUCCUGAAAAUCAAGGCUCACAAACCAGUCUCCUGGAUCUAAUAAUGGUAUUAUUAUGGCCAGGGUUACCAUACUGAACCUCCACGUUUGGAUGAAUGUGUUCAGUCUUGGUCUCCAUCCUACCUUUUGCUUGCAUACCAGGAAGCAGCUGGAGUAGAACCCUUUUCUGAUGAAAAAGGGGGAGCUGGUUGGAUCAUCCCCUGGAGCAAGAGGGGAUGUGGAUGCCCAGAGAUCAAAGGGUCACUCUAGAAUCCUUUACUGUGUGAAGGAAUUAAUCUGUGGCAUCGCUAAAGAACUUAAGUCUUCAAAGGCAAGAUCUUCCCCUGUAUUCUGGAUUUCCCUGCGGAGUCCAAGGAGAAUAGCCAUGAAGCAUAGAGAAUAACUAUAGUGGAUGCCACAAAAAGAAAUUAGUUUUUGGCCUCAUCCAAAGAGGCUCACAAAGAGGCUUUGGCAAUCUGACAUUCAGUGAUAAGAGCCUGAAACUGGUCCUUCUGGUCUUGUGGUAAAUGAGCAAUAAAAUGAGAGAAC
Long non-coding RNA from Dermochelys coriacea (leatherback sea turtle), 3204 nucleotides. RefSeq lists it as uncharacterized. The transcript is spliced from 4 exons. The record is from RefSeq and is a predicted model, not a curated record. NCBI's taxonomy places the organism in Eukaryota, Metazoa, Chordata, Testudines, Dermochelyidae.